AGUCAAGUAAUUAAGUGCAUGUGGUGGAUGCCUUGGCAGUCAGAGGCGAUGAAAGACGUGAUAGCCUGCGAAAAGCUCCGGGGAGGCGGCAAAUAUCCU
Molecule: ribosomal RNA, 99 nt
Filed under: Acinetobacter baumannii
Lineage: Bacteria; Pseudomonadati; Pseudomonadota; Gammaproteobacteria; Moraxellales; Moraxellaceae
Also listed under: 1 other name
Description: partial 23S ribosomal RNA
Rfam family: Bacterial large subunit ribosomal RNA
Source: RNAcentral